Molecule: ribosomal RNA, 229 nt
Filed under: uncultured bacterium
Lineage: Bacteria
Description: partial 16S ribosomal RNA
Rfam family: Bacterial small subunit ribosomal RNA
Source: RNAcentral
CGUCUAGGCGGGUCGGUUAGUCAGAUGUGAAAUCCCACGGCUCAACCGUGGAAUUGCAUUUGAUACUGCCGGUCUUGAGUACGGAAGAGGAAAGCGGAAUUCCUGGUGUAGCGGUGAAAUGCGUAGAUAUCAGGAAGAACACCGGUGGCGAAGGCGGCUUUCUGGUCCGAUACUGACGCUGAAGCGCGAAAGUGUGGGGAGCAAACAGGAUUAGAUACCCUGGUAGUCC